Molecule: long non-coding RNA, 663 nt
Filed under: Homo sapiens (human)
Lineage: Eukaryota; Metazoa; Chordata; Mammalia; Primates; Hominidae
Description: HSALNT0003086
Source: RNAcentral
CCCCAGAUGCUGCACACCUGGGUCCGCAGAGAACACUUUGAGCUGAUGGAGUGAAUAUUUCCAGGACAGAGGAGAAGCUAUCUUCUCUAGACUGGAUAAACAAGGCAGGAAGAAUGCAGAGAAGAGAUGAGGCAAUUUGUACAAAGGACAGCAACUGUAUCCAUGUCCCAGAAGGAAAUCUAUACAACCUUGAAAAGAAGAAAAAAACAAGAAAGGAAAGAAAGUGCCAAAUCAUGCAGUUUCUGCCCUUACCAGAAGCGUGAACCUUUUAAUUGCCGUUCCCUGAGUGGAAAAAGAUUUCUCUUCAUCUGCUAGCUUUUCUCUAGUGAUUUUUUUUUUCCUCUUCUUUUUUUGGAGGAAAUUGCUUGUAGCUUCUCCCCUUCCCUUCUGACCAAUUACUUAGCUGGGCAUGCUGUAAAAUAAAGUUUACAUUAAAUCGUCUCCAUGGCAACCUCACACACCAGAUCUCUAGUUUUAAAGCAAUCAUAUCCCUUUUCCCAUUCAAGCUUGCCAAAAAGUAACUUUUCUUGAAAGUACACAGACAGAACCUAAUAAGGUUUGUAAAGAGAGAUAAAUUGGUUGCACAAGAUAGGGGUCCCUUGAUGGAGAACAUGAGAUGAAUUCCUGAAAAAAUAUCUCCUGUAAACCAUGGUUAUUUACAGU